CCAGCUUUUGGGCAAAAGCGCUUCCUUCAACCGUGGAAAUCAAGAAGCUGCAUUUCGUAGCUUUUGAUUUCUGCUUUUGCGGGAAUCAUGUUUUCUAAAAUUUACAUCGAAAGUCCGUGUUUCCUCUUCGCCCACAUCCUUUGCUCUCUCACCACUUCUUCACCAGGUGCAAGAUUAAAUCAUUAUGGAUCCUUGGAGACGACCACAAUGCUCUGCAGAUGACCACCGACACCAAUGCCCUGCUCCCAAAAUCGAUUCUUUGUGUUGCUUAUCCGAAGAUCGAGGUCGGAAAAGUGGCCGGAUCUGAUAUCUGGAAAAGAAAACGAGGAGGGUUUUUUGUGGGUAAGAGUAGCGAUGGUGGGAAGAAAGGAGGGGUGCCCAAUUUGAAUUACGUGGUGGCCUUAGACAAAUUCUCAGGGACCUGAACAAGAGGAUUCCUGAUAACAUCAUCAGUACACCCCUAGCAAUCAGUUCAUCUUCAUUCCUUGGUACCAUGCGAACUGGUUGUUGAGUUUCUAUGCUCCUGGUAUGUCUCUUUACUUCAAUUUGCUUGUAAUUUUCAAGUGUGAUAGGGAAUAUCAACCAUAGGAACAUGGUUAGGCUUUGGGGUUUCUGUUAUGAGAAUGAACAUAUGUUGUUGGUAUGUGAGUAGCUGGAGAAUGGAUCCUGCUGGAUAAACUCUUGUUCUUGGAUGUUGAAUUAGGAUUGGAGUAGGGAAUCAGCGAUACAAUAUUGCAUUAGGCACUGCAAAGAGUUGUCAUAUCUACACGAAGAGUGUCUGGAAUGGGUACUACUCCAUUCUAAUGUAAAGCCUCAAAAUAUGUUGUUGAAGGACUGAAAAGAUUAGUACAAUUGCAGCAUGUACACUAUAUUACAAUUGAUAUAUAUUGUUAAUUGAGGACUGUGGGAUGGUACUCCUUUUUGAUAUAUGAACAUGUUUUAAGGGCAAAAUAUAUGAGUUAUGUUUCAAUUUGA
Long non-coding RNA from Rosa rugosa (rugosa rose), 975 nucleotides. RefSeq lists it as uncharacterized. The transcript has 2 exons. The record is from RefSeq and is a predicted model, not a curated record. Lineage: Eukaryota; Viridiplantae; Streptophyta; Magnoliopsida; Rosales; Rosaceae.